AUGACGCAACGCCGCGUGGAGGAUGAAGGUCUUCGGAUUGUAAACUCCUGUUGCUCGGGAAGAAUGGCUCCGACCUAAUACGUCGGAGUGUGACGGUACCGGGUGAGGAAGCCCCGGCUAACUCUGUGCCAGCAGCCGCGGUAAUACAGAGGGGGCAAGCGUUGUUCGGAAUUACUGGGCGUAAAGGGCGCGUAGGCGGCCUGUUAAGUCGAACGUGAAAUCCCCGGGCUCAACCCGGGAACUGCGUCCGAUACUGGCAGGCUUGAAUCCGGGAGAGGGAUGUGGAAUUCCAGGUGUAGCGGUGAAAUGCGUAGAUAUCUGGAGGAACACCGGUGGCGAAGGCGGCAUCCUGGACCGGUAUUGACGCUGAGGCGCGAAAGCCAGGGGAGCAAACGGGAUUAGAUACCCCGGUAGUCCUGGCCCUAAACGAUGAAUGCUUGGUGUGGCGGGUAUCGAUCCCUGCCGUGCCGAAGCUAACGCAUUAAGCAUUCCGCCUGGGGAGUACGGUCGCAAGGCUG
This 518-nucleotide ribosomal RNA is filed under the name uncultured Acidobacteriota bacterium. RNAcentral describes it as "bacterial SSU rRNA". It matches the Rfam family "Bacterial small subunit ribosomal RNA", at positions 386 to 896 of the family's 1533-position model. The record is from RNAcentral. Lineage: Bacteria; Pseudomonadati; Acidobacteriota.